AAAAUUACCGAACAAAACCAAUUUAUAAAAAAAUACGUCUCUUUGAUAUAUAGUAUAAAUAUUUACCGUCUUCCCCUAGCUGCUCUUUUAUCCUUCGAACGCCUCCACGUAACGCCUCCACGUGACAUGUUUUUUAUUAGUUAAUUUUGGGUUGUUAUUUGUUAAUUUUUUCAAACAAAUGUAAUGAAAGUCCAAAUUCACUGUAAAUCAAAUAUCGUUUUUUUAUGGCGAAUCAAUAGACGAAACCGAAACCGAAAACAAACUGAAUAGAUACCGAAACUGGUUAACACCGAACCAAAUAAACCCGACAUGUUCGGUUGUUAAAAUAUGAAAUACCAAUAUUGUCGGUACGUGUUUGCUGUAUUGCAAAACCGAGCCGUACCGAGCCGUGCACGCUCCUACACAACAUUAGCAUUUGUCAUUCAAUCAUUGGAAAAAAAAAUGAUAUAUUAACUCGGGAAAAAAGUUGUUUCGUACUAGUAUUUAAUUUGUUAAUCACGAGUUAUCCUCGUGCAUAUGACGAGCUUUGUUGAAUCACAAUAUAACUUUCCAUCUUUGUAUAAGCGUUUCAUAAAUUAUUUUAUAAUAAUAUUAUUAUUUGUAACAUAUUAUUUAUUUUAAUGCUUGUACGUACUAUAACAAAUUUAAUAUCAGUAGAGAAUAUUAUUGUUAUUUAAGAUAAGAAUAAUAUUUUAUUCUUUUUACCAUGUCAAGUAUUAUUUCAUAAUAAAUAAGUAAGGGAGCCUUUGAAAUUAUUAUGAUAAUUCUUAAAUUUUUUUUUCACCUUGUAUUAAUUUUAAAAAAUAGGGAUGGACAAUAAGAGCAAGCUGUUGCUUAAGGGUGUGUGUGGUAUUUUUGAAUGUUGAAUAAUGAAGUUGCAAGCAAACAGUUAUUUUUAAUUUCUUUUUUAUGACACUCGUGCCGAAAUACAUGUAAUGUUUCAAUUUAUACAUUCUUGACGCUGGUAGGUUUCUAACUGUAAGAUCCUCCGCUGGUAAGUUUGUGCACAUGACCGUUUUUGUACUUUUAAUAUAAGCACGUAACCCUCUAUGGUAUUCCACUUGGUAAUCAAGACACGAGUUCAAAUGAAAAAUUCGAGCUUAUUUAGAAGUUCAUGUCGUUUAUUGGUUGAUUGAUCACAUUUUUUUAAGACUUCCAUAUGUACGAGCAAGAUAUAAUUUUAUGUUAUUUUUUAAUUGAAAAAUGGACAGAUGGAUAUUGUACGUACUAGCGAUGUAAGAUCCAAAACAUAUUGUACUUUUGUAAGGAAUGAAUGUACUAUAAACUAUUUAUAAAAAAAAAAUGUACUACAAACUCUAGACAAUUUAUGAAUGUGUCCUUUUCUACUUUCCAAUAUUCCAUGUUUGAUAAGUACAAAUGAUUUUGUUUCGUAGUGAAAGAUCAUUGCAUUUCUUCUUGCCUUAGCUUUAUUCCAAUUGCAUUCUUAUUUUUCUUUUGGUUGUAGCUUAAUAUUAUUUUGUUUUUGCAUGAGCAUUCAUGUUUAUUGUUGUUGUUUUUGUUGUUAAACAGCAUGGCGCAGGUCCUGCAACAAUAUCAAAGUCGAGUCGAGAGUGGGAAAGAUGGUUGCGAUACAAAGGUAAGAUUCACGCCUCCGACAAUAGAUUUUGGAAGAAAAAAAAAACAAAAAAAGAAAAGCUGAAUACACAGGUCUUACUCGAGAUUUAUAUUGUCAAAAUGUGGAUCAUUACUGAAAUUUGAAGCAUUGUCAAUUAUCAAUUAAGGAAGAUAAUUUCGUAAUCUUUCACGUCUGUCAUAUAACUACAUGAUUGGUGAUAUUAAUAAAUACACGAGUUUGAUUGAUAAUAUUUAUUCUUGUGAGAUAUGUGGUGUUUGGAACUUUUGUAGUCAUCAGUCUCGUGUGAUAUUUGAGGCCUAAUAAUUCUUCCACAAAUAGAAAUAAAUCUACAAACGGACGUAAUACAUUACUUCGAACUAAAGUAGGAAGGCCAUUUUUUGUUUGAAGUAAAGUCUCUAAGCUACGUAUGGAUGGUAGAGGUUUCAAAUCCAUAAUAACAAAUUUCUUGCACUUGUUUGGAUUGAGAGAUUUGAUGAAGAAUUUCAAAUCCACACUCCUCCUUUUUAGUUAUAAAUUGGGUCAUUCGUGUUGAUUUCAAAUGACUACAAAUCAUAGUCAUUUCAACUCUUCCACAAAUCAAAUCCUUCUAUCCAAAUGGAGCCUUAGGCAGUUUGGACUCAUGGAUUUAAAACAAGUCCAAAUGAAGAGAUUUGAGAUCCCCACAACUGCUCUAAAAUGAUAGCUAUGGAUAUAAAAUUCCUAAAUCAAUUCCUUCUAUCCGAAUGUACCUUAAGUUUAAUUUUUCAUUUGGAAUUCCUUUUCUUUUUUCUUUUUAAUUUAGUCGUUUUUAAUAUAUGCUUUAUCUCGAUUCUAUUCGUCUCUAUGUUACUCUUCGUUACCUCGUUCCCGUUCACUCUCGCUCUGGAUCAAGUGUUCCUUUUCCAAAAUCAAUUAGUUUAAUUAUAUAUGCCUACAAAAUCUGGUCACAUGAGAGAAGAUUUUAUGUUAGAGAUCAUGAUACUUUUGGUAGAUUGGUUUAGAAUUUCUUGCCAUUUGCUCGCUCUCUUUCUGGAUAUGUGAUCUCUUAAUUUUCUAACACAUAACGAUAACUUAGUUGACCUAUCUAGUUGAUUUUAGUCAACCACCAAUAUCCAUUCAUAUAUACGUUUAUGCACCUUAAGUUGGAACUGCGUAAGUUACGUAACACUUCCCUCGAGCUAGAGUCUAUGAAUAAGUGGCAUAAUUAAUUGAUAGCAGUGUCAAGACAGAGCAAUAAGAGUAGUAAUAACCGCAUAAAAGACAACACCAAGAGUGACACAAAACGAAGAGGACUAGUCAGAAAUUAUGGUUUCAAAUUCGGUUUUGAGAUUAUUUUCAAGAUGUUCCAACUCUCUCUGGAUACACUCGACACCAUGGUAAAAUAGAAACAGCAGGGUUGGUCAGACGAAAUAUUAUAGAAAUGCUAGAAAUAUAAUAAUAUUAUAGAAAGAGCCGUCUCCCUUUAUAAGAGAUGGGAACAUAGUUUUAAUAAAGAAGUUCUUCAAAUUAUACACAUAUAAGGGCAUUCAUUUCACACGGUGAUUUGAUUGAUUGGGCAGGAUCUGCUGUACUCCAGAAACGGUGAUUAUCUUACAUAUAGUGAGCUUCUCAAAACUGUUGGAAGGUAACUCCCAAUUUUGAAUAAUUUAAUUUUGUUUUUGUUGCAACACUUUCGGGGUUGUUUACUCACAAGUUAUAUUUCUUUCCCAUAGUGAACUUAAGGAGCCACAUGUUGACAAGAUAAGUGUGGCGGACCUUGGGCUCAUGCAGAAACAUCUUGAGACUGCAUUAAUGGAUAUACGUUCGACUAAGGUUUCAUGUUUUUUUUCGAUUGCCUAUGUUUUUUUUUUUGUUUUUGACCAAGCAAAGCUAUGAUACAUUUGUCUUAAAACAAUGAUAUUCUUGUUAGCUUUUAUCUCGUAAAGUUUGUUCAAGAGCCAUUUCAUGAACUAGAGAAGUUAAAUUCAUAUGGUAGUUUUUGUUUACCUUUUUUGAUGAGCUGAGCUUAUGUGGCAAGAAUGUUCGAACCUCUUGAAUAUUAGUAGACUUCUUUCCAGUUUCUUGUGAACCUGUAAAAACUUAUUAAAGUUAAGUUCCAUUCAUAUAACAUUGUGAUGUCAGAAUUUAUUUUAUUACUUCAUGCAGACAAAAAUGACGAGGGAUGCUCAAUCAAGCCUUCAGGAAAAGGUUCGCAAAUCUAUUUUUGCCACUAUUAUAUUUCAGUGUUCUCCAGUGUGUGUGUGUGUGUGAAAAAAGAUAAAAGCUUAGAUGUUAUUGCGGAGAAUCGGUAGAUGUUAAGUAAGAUAAGUGCUUACAACAGCUUAUAUUAUGUGAACAGGAAAAGAUGCUGGAAGAAGAAAAAAAACAUUUCAACGAGGUUAUUAAAGUUGAAACCCUGAAUAUAAAUUUCAACGAGGUUAUUAUCACAAAAAUGAAUUUAUAAAUUAUAAAUUGUUUACAUAUUACAGAUUGUUGAAGGCAGUAAGUGUGCUAGGAAAAAGAAGGUGGUGAUAGAUCUCAACAUUGCCGCAGACGACAAAUAGAAGCAGCAUACAACACCGGACCUAGCUCGAUCAAACUUUUAUGUGCAAAAUAAAAAUAAAAUAUCUGCCGAAUCAUAAGAAUGCAUGCAGGUAUAAAUAAAAGGUGCUAGAGGAAUAUGGACCUACCUCUUUACUUGUUGCAUGGUGUGUAAGCUGCUUGAACC
This 4283-nucleotide long non-coding RNA is filed under the name Erythranthe guttata (spotted monkey flower). RNAcentral's name for it is "long non-coding RNA (EGUT_LNC002524)". Lineage: Eukaryota; Viridiplantae; Streptophyta; Magnoliopsida; Lamiales; Phrymaceae. The record is from RNAcentral.